GUGGGAGCCUUUCCCUGCAAGCCUAAAAUGUUCUGAUCCAGUAAGUGGCUUCAGCAUGGUGCCACCCCAGAGGAACCUUCAAUUUGACAACCAGGUUGUGAGAAGAGGACUGUGAUUGUGUCUCUGUGCUCUCUGACAAGCAUUGAGGAAAGCAAAAUGAUUAAAUAUGGGGAAUUGAAGAUUUAUGCCAAUGCUGGGAAUUUGCUGCUAUUAUAUCCACUGCUGAAAUAUCAUUUGAGGCUCUCAGAAAAGGAUUGAGUAUUGUGUCACACUCUUUUGUCUCUCAAGAUGAAGGUCUGGGCUCUUGCAGAGAAAGUUUUUCUCCUCAAUGAGGUGUAUCCCAGAGGAAAGGAAUGCUCAGAUCUCUUCUAGACCUCUACAGUGAGGCUUCUUCUGCCACCCACAGAAAAAAGAAGACAAAGGAGUUCCUCCCAUCCUCGCCCUCCACAGUAAGGCUGGACUAGCAGAAAACCCUGAAGGCAGAGAGCUGGAGAACUGCUUUUUUUUGUUGUUUGUUUUCAACAGCAGCCCCAAAAGAAGCUGGCAAGCAAAGUGGGGAUUGGGGUGAGAAACUGAGGACACCUGUCCAAAGUGACUGCAGCCCCUCUUGAUCACACCAGUGGAACCAGUGCGCCAGGGCAGCCACAGCUUACCAGCACCGUGCUGGCCAGGUGCUUCGGGAGGUGCCUGACCCAGAAACUGAGCACAGCGGUAUGAUUCAGCUUUGAGGUGUGAGAAGCUCUCAGCAGGGCUGGCCAGGCAGGGUUCAGACAGGGAGCUGGCAGCCCGUGCCUCCUUAUUGCCCCAGCUCAAAUGUCGGCACAGCCAGAGAGGCACUCAGUUCUCUUUACACCACGUGUUACUUUAAAACAAAAUCUAUCAGCUUGCAAACAUUUGGACAUCUUUAUGAAGGUCAGGAUUUACACACGAAUUGUCUCUGAAUAUCACAAAUUCUUUCCUGCCUUCUCAUUUCUGGGAAAGCAGAUGUAAAGCCUAAGGGGUGAACAAUACAGGUAUUGUCUGAACAUUCUGUGUAAAUCUUCCUUGACCAAUUUCCCAAAAGUUGUGUCAGCAAGAUGUUUUGUUUUGUCAGUGUUUGGGGUUUGUAUUUUCUUUUUUCUUUGUUUUUAAUCCGAACCCAUGGAUCUGAAUUGGUGUUUCUUCUUGCUGCUUUCACAUCUUUGGUGGUGUCUGUCACACGUUUAAUCUGAAAACCUAUGAGUAACAGUUUGGCUAGAGAGUAAGACAAAAAGAGAAACCUGCUUGUAAAGGAAGAUAAUUGACACAGUGAGAGUCCAGGCCAAAUCCCUUCUACAAACAGUCUCACUGUAGUCAAUGUGAUUAGUUGUGUGAAUAAGGCAAAGAGAAUUUGGCUCUUGCUGCAGUUCCAGCCACCUUUUAUCAUUGGAGAGAGAGAAAAACACCAUAAAAUUAAAUAGGUAUCAUCCUCCCCACAUUCUUAGUGUAACUAUUUUAACUGGAAUGCCUCAUAAACAGAUAAAGGCACUCCUGAGCUUUGGGAAGAUCAUUUUUUAAAUGACCAUUUAGAGCUGGAUUAUGGUUUUACAUUUUCACCUUGGAGCAUUUAAGGGCUGUUUGGGACAUUAAACGCUAACCUAUCAAAGCCUAAACAGAAAGGCAAUGUUGCUUGCGGUCGUACAGCCCACUGAAAUAAUAUACUGCUGGUGCUGUUAAUACUUUCAUUUGUGGAAGCAAAAUGGUGAUUCAAGAACGUUUGAUGCCCCUAAAACUCUCACAGCAGCUGGAUAUUUUACAUUGGUUUCUAUAAUAUUCUUAUGAUAACAUUCCUGUCCCGCAGGGGUCUGCUUGAAUAUCAGAGCACUCAUCUUUUUUAAGUUUUGCAUAAUGUGAGAUAUUAAAAUUAAGGCUGGUGUUUACUGUUCAGUUCUUAUACACGUAUUCCCACAUUCACAGCUAGAUAUUAUUUCCCUUGGAAAUGCUUUCUGUCCCUGCCAGUUACUGAAUGCAAUCAGAUAGCAUUGCGUGGGCCAGCAUACCAAUUAAGUGCUAUGCCUGGAUAUGUGGUGUUUCCUCCAUCAGCAGCUUGAUGGUUCAUCAGCACGUAAGCAGUGUCUGUUGAUAAGAAGAAAGCCUGAUUCCACAAUGGGAGCAGAAUCUAUUUCUUGAAAAUGCUUUCAGGAUACAUUUUGAGGGGGAGAGGGGAAAAGGGGCAGGCAACACAUAAAAUGGUAGGAAAAAAUGAAACAGGAGGAAAGAUUAAUGAAAGCAGGAUCAGAAAUAUAUUCAAUUAGAACUCGCAGGCCCAGUCAUAUUACACUGCUACUGUACAUCUUGUCAUUAUCCAAAUCUGUUGCUAAACUGUUGGCGUUUGUCUUCAUUAUGCGGUAAAAUGGUAUAAUGAGUAGUUACAAAUACGAUGGAGGAAAUGCCCUGGAAUUAUCACAAUUCCUGAGAAUAAAAAAUGCCUUAAUUUAAAUUAUUGGUGUGCAGCGUCUGCCAAGUGCACAGACAGAUGUGAAGAGUGGAACGUGAUUUUGUUCUGAUGCUGCCUUCAAAGUUUCUGUUCCAGUUCAAAGCAGUUUUCAGGCUGAAUUCUUCCUUGAAAGCCAGUGUCAGGGAUGCGAUACAACAGAGAGCAGCAUUUGACAUAUUUCUCAGCUGCGAGGAUCUGCACAGCCUGAUAUCUUAAGUCCAGUUUUGAAGCCUUUUGCAAGCAGCUCUCCCCCACAUUUCAGCUGAAGAGCUGGUUAGUGUAAAGACUGUGACUUCUAACAAUGAUAUGAGGUGGGAAGAAAGCUGCUGUAUCAGUCUAGUUAAUUAGACAUAAUUUACUCUUCAGAAAUGUUCUUAUCCACACUGCUAUGUUAACUUUCAAGCUCAUUUUCACAUUUGAAUGAUUAUUAUGUUCUAGAAAGACAGUUUCAGGGUACUUAAACCCAACAUCGGCCUACUUUGAAACUGUGAGCCUGAAAUUCAGAACCACUACAUAAUAAAGAAUUUUAUAUUAGUAUCAGGAUAUGAAUGAAUAUUUUACUAAAAGUUCAAAUAAAAUCCUAAA
Long non-coding RNA from Numida meleagris (helmeted guineafowl), 3040 nucleotides. RefSeq lists it as uncharacterized. The record is from RefSeq and is a predicted model, not a curated record. Lineage: Eukaryota; Metazoa; Chordata; Aves; Galliformes; Numididae. The transcript is spliced from 4 exons.